CCCUUAGAUGUUCUGGGCCGCACGCGCGCUACACUGACGGAGGCAGCGAGCGUGUCCUUCGCCGGCAGGUGCGGGCAAUCUUGCGAGUCUCCGUCGUGCUGGGGAUAGAUGGUUGCAAUCGUCGAUCUUGAACGAGGAAUUCCUAGUAAGCGCGAGUCAUCAGCUCGCGCUGAUUACGUCCCUGCCCUUUGUACACACCGCCCGUCGCUACUACAGAGUGCCCGUGUCCAAGAAACGGUCGGACCUGUGCGGCCUCUCCGGGCGACCGGAGGGCCGUUACGGGGAAGACCCUUUAUUUGACGCGGGUCGAUGAAGUAAAAGUCGUAACA
RNAcentral lists this ribosomal RNA (329 nucleotides) under uncultured eukaryote. Its description in RNAcentral is "partial 18S ribosomal RNA". It matches the Rfam family "Eukaryotic small subunit ribosomal RNA", at positions 1470 to 1796 of the family's 1831-position model. The record is from RNAcentral.